Molecule: small RNA, 125 nt
Filed under: Marmota monax (woodchuck)
Lineage: Eukaryota; Metazoa; Chordata; Mammalia; Rodentia; Sciuridae
Source: RNAcentral
GCUGGGUGUGGUGGCACAUGCCUGUAAUCCCAGCGGCUUGGGAGGCUGAGGCAAGAGGAUUGAGAGUUCAAAGCCAGCCUCAGCAAAAUCACGGUGCUAAGUAACUCAGUGAGACCCUGUCUCUA